ACAGGAGUUCACAUGGAGGAAGCAGAAGAGGCUGAGGUCUGAGGCUUUUCAUUGACUGUCUGAAUACACACCAUGAAAUCAGCACCAUUGGCUUCAAAGACAUUUAUUAAAACGAUGCAUUUGUAAGAAGAAAUUUUAUGAGAUCUGUGGCUUAUGAAGUCCUUGAUCUAUUUAAUCCAGAUGAUUGGAUCCUAAUGUUUGCAGCAAAGACAGGCCCUAAUGCUUAUAGGUAAG
RNAcentral lists this long non-coding RNA (234 nucleotides) under Homo sapiens (human). Its description in RNAcentral is "HSALNT0141802". The record is from RNAcentral. Lineage: Eukaryota; Metazoa; Chordata; Mammalia; Primates; Hominidae.